This 528-nucleotide ribosomal RNA is filed under the name Anastrepha maculata. Its description in RNAcentral is "partial small subunit ribosomal RNA". The stretch from base 396 to 528 matches the Rfam family "Bacterial large subunit ribosomal RNA", at positions 2473 to 2605 of the family's 2925-position model. The record is from RNAcentral. Lineage: Eukaryota; Metazoa; Arthropoda; Insecta; Diptera; Tephritidae.
AAACAUGUCUUUUUGAGUUAAUUUUAAAGUCUAGCCUGCCCACUGAAUAAUUUUUAAAUGGCCGCAGUAUUUUGACUGUGCAAAGGUAGCAUAAUCAUUAGUCUUUUAAUUGAAGGCUGGUAUGAAUGGUUGGACGAAGUAUAAGCUGUUUCAUAUAAAUUUAUUGUAGAAUUUUAUAUUUUAGUAAAAAAGCUAAAAUUUUAUUAAAAGACGAGAAGACCCUAUAAAUCUUUAUAUUUAAUUUUAUUUUAAUUUUUUAGAUUUAUUUUAUUUUAAUAACAUUAAGUAUUUUGUUGGGGUGAUAUUAAAAUUUAAUUAACUUUUAAUUAUGAAAAAUCAUUAAUUUAUGAUUAAUUGAUCCAAUAAUAUUGAUUAUAAGAUUAAGUUACUUUAGGGAUAACAGCGUAAUUUUUUUUAAGAGUUCAUAUCGACAAAAAAGUUUGCGACCUCGAUGUUGGAUUAAGGUAUAAUUUUGGGUGUAGCUGUUCAAAUGUUAAGUCUGUUCGACUUUUAAAUCCUUACAUGAUC